Molecule: long non-coding RNA, 915 nt
Filed under: Anser brachyrhynchus (Pink-footed goose)
Lineage: Eukaryota; Metazoa; Chordata; Aves; Anseriformes; Anatidae
Description: lncRNA (ENSABRG00000011840.1)
Source: RNAcentral
CCUGACGGACUUUUUGGUAGAAAUACCUCAGACUGGACCUUGUCUAGCUCGGUCGGGUAUAGCUGAGCAUCAGCAUUCAGUGCACCCAGGCUGAGCUCAAAUGCCUUGCUGACUCAGAUGUGGAGCUGAGACUCACAUUCCUCAAAGCACCAGGAUUCUUCAGAGGUGUGUUGUCAUGCAGAGGAGAAGCUCAGAAAAUCAAGCAUUUGGAGUCCCAGAAAAUUUGAAGGUCAAGCUCCUCCAGAUUGCCCCCACCAGAAAUGCCCACGUUUGGGAGGGAAAAAAAGGGAUCUUAGAAGAGCUGCAUUGAGUUUCUGGGUGAUAAAACUGCUGAACCCUUCCUCAGCCUUCUCCAUUGCUCAUCAAAAGAAACGGAUACGCCAAACGUUUAUAAGCAACUGGAGUAAAGGGUAUUUCCACAUGAAAAGAUGUAAUAGUAGCCAAGGAUGUACUCUUAACCACUUCUUAAAGCUGAAUACCUAUGGAGUCAAUGGGAUAAAGGACUCCUAACAUUAUGCUUUGCCAGUACUAAGAAUAAUUCACCUCUGAUUUCUUUUUAAGAAGCAUCUGCCUUUCUACUUCCUUGUAGAUGUUAUUCAUUGUGAGGAAUUACCCUUAAUUUUAGGUUAUAACUGUGGAUUCAACCACAACAUACAGAAAUUUUACAUGAAGUUCUUCCAUUGUUUGCGGUGUAUUAACUCCAGUUAAUACUGGGGGGGGAGAAGAGAUCAAGACUUAUUUUAGAACUCAUAUCUGAACUUGGGAUCUGCAUUUAGUUGGAUGCGAGUCCUAAUUUUUGAAGGAAUUUAUUUUGAAUCUACUGCUUUUGACUGGAGUUUAAAUACCCUUCAAAAUGUUUAACCAAGGUGAUGUGGUUUCAGUUGCACAAUAAAAAUCAACUCUGAAGAUAGUUCA